GGGCCCGCACAAGCGGUGGAGCAUGUGGUUUAAUUCGAUGCAACGCGAAGAACCUUACCAGGACUUGACAUACUACAAAUUCUUUUGAGAAAAAGAAGUGCCUUCGGGAAUGUAGAUACAGGUGGUGCAUGGCUGUCGUCAGCUCGUGUCGUGAGAUGUUGGGUUAAGUCCCGCAACGAGCGCAACCCUUAUUUUUAGUUACCAAUUCGUUGGGUUCUCUAGAAAGACUGCCGGUGACAACCGGAGAAGGUGAGGAUGACGUCAAGUCAGCAUGCCCUUAUGUCCUGGGCCUACACACGUGCUACAAUGGUUAAGACAAAGAGUUGCGAGCUCGCAAGGGUCAG
RNAcentral lists this ribosomal RNA (344 nucleotides) under uncultured bacterium. RNAcentral's name for it is "bacterial SSU rRNA". It matches the Rfam family "Bacterial small subunit ribosomal RNA", at positions 917 to 1267 of the family's 1533-position model. The record is from RNAcentral.